RNAcentral lists this transfer RNA (74 nucleotides) under Candidatus Peribacter riflensis. RNAcentral describes it as "tRNA-Pro". It matches the Rfam family "tRNA". From Rfam's summary of the family: Transfer RNA (tRNA) molecules are approximately 80 nucleotides in length. The record is from RNAcentral. Lineage: Bacteria; Candidatus Peregrinibacteriota; Candidatus Peribacteria; Candidatus Peribacterales.
CGGGGCGUAGUUCAGUUGGCUAGAACGCUUGCAUGGGGUGCAAGAGGUCGCAGGUUCAAGUCCUGUCGCCCCGA